This 719-nucleotide ribosomal RNA is filed under the name Hydrogenophaga intermedia. RNAcentral describes it as "bacterial SSU rRNA". It matches the Rfam family "Bacterial small subunit ribosomal RNA", at positions 95 to 811 of the family's 1533-position model. Lineage: Bacteria; Pseudomonadati; Pseudomonadota; Betaproteobacteria; Burkholderiales; Comamonadaceae. The record is from RNAcentral.
GUGGCGAACGGGUGAGUAAUGCAUCUUAACGUGCCCAGUCGUGGGGGAUAACGCAGCGAAAGCUGCGCUAAUACCGCAUACGAUCUGUGGAUGAAAGCGGGGGACCUUCGGGCCUCGCGCGAUUGGAGCGGCCGAUGUCAGAUUAGGUAGUUGGUGGGGUAAAGGCUCACCAAGCCGACGAUCUGUAGCUGGUCUGAGAGGACGACCAGCCACACUGGGACUGAGACACGGGCCAGACUCCUACGGGAGGCAGCAGUGGGGAAUUUUGGACAAUGGGGGCAACCCUGAUCCAGCAAUGCCGCGUGCAGGAAGAAGGCCUUCGGGUUGUAAACUGCUUUUGUACGGAACGAAAAGGCUCUGGUUAAUACCUGGGGCUCAUGACGGUACCGUAAGAAUAAGCACCGGCUAACUACGUGCCAGCAGCCGCGGUAAUACGUAGGGUGCGAGCGUUAAUCGAAAUUACUGGGCGUAAAGCGUGCGCAGGCGGUGCUGUAAGACAAGCGUGAAAUCCCCGGGCUUAACCUGGGAAUGGCGCUUGUGACUGCAGUGCUGGAGUGUGGCAGAGGGGGAUGGAAUUCCGCGUGUAGCAGUGAAAUGCGUAGAUAUGCGGAGGAACACCGAUGGCGAAGGCAAUCCCCUGGGCCUGCACUGACGCUCAUGCACAAAAGCGUGGGGAGCAAACAGGAUUAGAUACCCUGGUAGUCCACGCCCUAACGAUG